This 301-nucleotide ribosomal RNA is filed under the name uncultured bacterium. RNAcentral's name for it is "partial 16S ribosomal RNA". It matches the Rfam family "Bacterial small subunit ribosomal RNA", at positions 509 to 807 of the family's 1533-position model. The record is from RNAcentral.
CAGUAGCCACGGUAACACAGAGGGUGCAAGCGUUAAUCGGAAUUACUGGGCGUAAAGCGCGCGUAGGUGGUUUGUUAAGUUGGAUGUGAAAGCCCCGGGCUCAACCUGGGAACUGCAUCCAAAACUGGCAAGCUAGAGUACGGUAGAGGGUGGUGGAAUUUCCUGUGUAGCGGUGAAAUGCGUAGAUAUAGGAAGGAACACCAGUGGCGAAGGCGACCACCUGGACUGAUACUGACACUGAGGUGCGAAAGCGUGGGGAGCAAACAGGAUUAGAUACCCGCGUAGUCCCUGUCUCUUAUAC